GAAACCUCCUCAAUGAGAUUAAGGCUCCAUUUCCUCCCUGCCAGCGGGCAGAUCACAGCCAGACUGACUGUGAAUACUGUGGGUAUCCGUGCCUGAAAGGAAAGCCUUGAUGAAUAAGAAAUGCAACUAGAGGAGGAGGGGGUGAGAGAACCCCAUUUUAAAAAACACACAUACACAACUUUUUCUUCACUGGCAGGUGCCCCAGGUAAUAAAGAAGGUGGAAUUCUGCUCACUGGCUCUUUUCUCUUGCCCAGUGUGUUCCUUUCUGACUGAUGGAGUCCUUGGUGAUCUAUCUCAGCAAGGUCAAGAGGGUAUAAUUAGCAGAGGGAUUAAAAAGAUGCUCUGCUUCAUGCGCCCACUCUUCCUUGCGCGGUCUUCUUCCGAAUGCAUCUCACAUCUCCUGGCUCCCGGCUGGCUGAUGGGCGUGCGCUGUUCCUGCCGACACACACAUGCUUCUGCGCUUUCCCUGAGAGUGGAGCAUUAGCAACUGCAGCUUUAAAAAAGAAAGGAAAAGCAUGCCCGUUUCCCCCAGCUGGUGAACCUUCUGCAGCCACUGCCUGACUUUGUGGGGAGGAAGACAGCUCUGGAGGCAAGUUUCAGAAGGACUUGGCUGCACUUUGGAGUGUCCACUGUGAAUCCACUAGCGCUGGGCACCCUUCCAGAAGUCCUGGCAUUCAAGGUGCAACGAGGCUGUGCAUCAGGGUAAAAUGCUGGCUGUCUCUGAAAGUGGAAGAGUUCACAACUCAAGGCUUCAGUGAAUACUGUGCGUGUUGACCCUUAAAAGACAGCCUGGAUGGAUACCCUUUAUUUCUUCGCAAAACAAUUUUCUCACUCCUUCACGGACAUUGAAAGAAGGCUCUAAUUAAGGAUUGAUGGACACUGCUUAUGAAUCAGGAAGUAUUUAAACACACUUGUAAGUACUAGAUGGAGAUCCUACCCCACUGAACAGCAACUUCCAUCAAGUACUUCAUGAGCA
Molecule: long non-coding RNA, 976 nt
Organism: Anolis sagrei ordinatus
Lineage: Eukaryota; Metazoa; Chordata; Lepidosauria; Squamata; Anolidae
Source: RefSeq, a predicted model, not a curated record